AUUGAACGCUGGCGGCAGGCCUAACACAUGCAAGUCGAGCGAGCGGCGGACGGGUGAGUAAUGUCUGGGAAACUGCCUGAUGGAGGGGGAUAACUACUGGAAAAGGUAGCUAAUACCGCAUACCAUCUGAUGUACCCAGAUGGGAUUAGCUAGUAGGUGGGGUACCGGCUCACCUAGGCGACGAUCCCUAGCUGGUCUGUGAGGAUGACCAGCCACACUGGAACUGAGGCACGGUCCAAACUCCUACAGGAGGCAACUGUGGGGAAGAUUGCACAAUGGGCUCAAGCCUGAUACAGCCGUGCCGCGUGUGUGAAGAAGUCCUUCGGGCUGUAAAGCACUGUCAGCGGGGAGGCGUUGCCCUCAGAAGAAGCACCGGCUAACGCCGUGCCAGCAGCCGCGGUAAUUC
RNAcentral lists this ribosomal RNA (406 nucleotides) under uncultured bacterium. RNAcentral's name for it is "partial 16S ribosomal RNA". It matches the Rfam family "Bacterial small subunit ribosomal RNA", at positions 30 to 526 of the family's 1533-position model. The record is from RNAcentral.